RNAcentral lists this ribosomal RNA (759 nucleotides) under uncultured Staphylococcus sp. Its description in RNAcentral is "bacterial SSU rRNA". It matches the Rfam family "Bacterial small subunit ribosomal RNA", at positions 39 to 780 of the family's 1533-position model. Lineage: Bacteria; Bacillati; Bacillota; Bacilli; Caryophanales; Staphylococcaceae. The record is from RNAcentral.
GCGGCGUGCCUAAUACAUGCAAGUCGAGCGAACGGACGAGAAGCUUGCUUCUCUGAUGUUAGCGGCGGACGGGUGAGUAACACGUGGAUAACCUACCUAUAGGACUGGGAUAACUUCGGGAAACCGUAGCUAAUACCGGAUAAUAUUUUGAACCGCAUGGUUCAAAAGUGAAAGACGGUCCUGCUGUCACUUAUAGAUGGAUCCGCGCUGCAUUAGCUAGUUGGUAAGGUAACGGCUUACCAAGGCAACGAUGCAUAGCCGACCUGAGAGGGUGAUCGGCCACACUGGAACUGAGACACGGUCCAGACUCCUACGGGAGGCAGCAGUAGGGAAUCUUCCGCAAUGGGCGAAAGCCUGACGGAGCAACGCCGCGUGAGUGAUGAAGGUCUUCGGAUCGUAAAACUCUGUUAUUAGGGAAGAACAUAUGUGUAAGUAACUGUGCACAUCUUGACGGUACCUAAUCAGAAAGCCACGGCUAACUACGUGCCAGCAGCCGCGGUAAUACGUAGGUGGCAAGCGUUAUCCGGAAUUAUUGGGCGUAAAGCGCGCGUAGGCGGUUUUUUAAGUCUGAUGUGAAAGCCCACGGCUCAACCGUGGAGGGUCAUUGGAAACUGGAAAACUUGAGUGCAGAAGAGGAAAGUGGAAUUCCAUGUGUAGCGGUGAAAUGCGCAGAGAUAUGGAGGAACACCAGUGGCGAAGGCGACUUUCUGGUCUGUAACUGACGCUGAUGUGCGAAAGCGUGGGGAUCAAACAGGAUUA